GCUUACGGCAACACCGCCUGGUUCAUGCCCGAUCUCGGAAGCUAACAUAGGUUGGGCCUGGUUAGUACUUGGAUGGGAGACCGCCUGGGAAUACCAGGUGCUGUAAGCU
This 109-nucleotide ribosomal RNA is filed under the name Scophthalmus maximus (turbot). Lineage: Eukaryota; Metazoa; Chordata; Actinopteri; Pleuronectiformes; Scophthalmidae. The record is from RNAcentral.